CACGUAGGCACCAAGCGUUGUCCGGAUUUAUUGGGCGUAAAGAGCUCGUAGGCGGUUCGGUAAGUCGGGUGUGAAAACUCUGGGCUCAACCCAGAGCCGCCACCCGAUACUGCUGUGACUUGAGUUCGGUAGGGGAGCGGGGAAUUCCUGGUGUAGCGGUGAAAUGCGCAGAUAUCAGGAGGAACACCGGUGGCGAAGGCGGGUCUCUGGGCCGAUAUUGACGCUGAGGAGCGAAAGCGUGGGGAGCGAACAGG
This 254-nucleotide ribosomal RNA is filed under the name uncultured bacterium. Its description in RNAcentral is "partial 16S ribosomal RNA". It matches the Rfam family "Bacterial small subunit ribosomal RNA", at positions 524 to 776 of the family's 1533-position model. The record is from RNAcentral.